CUACGGGAUGCAGCAGUGGGGAAUAUUGGACAAUGGGGGAAACCCUGAUGCAGCAACGCCGCGUGGAGGAUGACGCAUUUCGGUGUGUAAACUCCUUUUAUAUGUCAAGAAAAUGACGGCAGCAUAUGAAUAAGCACCGGCUAACUCCGUGCCAGCAGCCGCGGUAAUACGGAGGGUGCAAGCGUUACUCGGAAUCACUGGGCGUAAAGGACGCGUAGGCGGGUUGGAAAGUCAGGUGUGAAAUACUACAGCUUUACUGUAGAACUGCACUUGAAACUUCUAAUCUAGAGUAUGGGAGGGGGAGAUGGAAUUAGUGGUGUAGGGGUAAAAUCCGUAGAUAUCACUAGGAAUACCUAAAGCGAAGGCGAUCUCCUGGAACAUUACUGACGCUAAGGCGUGAAAGCGUGGGGAGCAAACAGGAUUAGAUACCCGUGUAGUC
Molecule: ribosomal RNA, 439 nt
Filed under: uncultured bacterium
Lineage: Bacteria
Description: partial 16S ribosomal RNA
Rfam family: Bacterial small subunit ribosomal RNA
Source: RNAcentral